RNAcentral lists this transfer RNA (73 nucleotides) under Caulobacter phage CcrBL9. It matches the Rfam family "tRNA". From Rfam's summary of the family: Transfer RNA (tRNA) molecules are approximately 80 nucleotides in length. Lineage: Duplodnaviria; Heunggongvirae; Uroviricota; Caudoviricetes; Jeanschmidtviridae. The record is from Rfam by way of RNAcentral.
GCUGCCGUAGCUCUAGCGGUAGAGCGCACCCUUGGUAAGGGUGAGGUCGUGGGUUCGAAUCCCACCGGUAGCA